AUUGAACGCUGGCGGCAGGCCUAACACAUUCAAGUCGAACGGUAACAGGAAGAAGCUUGCUUCUUUGCUGACGAGUGGCGGACGGGUGAGUAAUGUCUGGGAAACUGCCUGAUGGAGGGGGAUAACUACUGGAAACGGUAGCUAAUACCGCAUAACGUCGCAAGACCAAAGAGGGGGACCUUCGGGCCUCUUGCCAUCGGAUGUGCCCAGAUGGGAUUAGCUAGUAGGUGGGGUAACGGCUCACCUAGGCGACGAUCCCUAGCUGGUCUGAGAGGAUGACCAGCCACACUGGAACUGAGACACGGUCCAGACUCCUACGGGAGGCAGCAGUGGGGAAUAUUGCACAAAGGGCGCAAGCCUGAUGCAGCCAUGCCGCGUGUAUGAAGAAGGCCUUCGGGUUGUAAAGUACUUUCAGCGGGGAGGAAGGGAGUAAAGUUAAUACCUUUGCUCAUUGACGUUACCCGCAGAAGAAGCACCGGCUAACUCCGUG
RNAcentral lists this ribosomal RNA (490 nucleotides) under uncultured bacterium. Its description in RNAcentral is "partial 16S ribosomal RNA". It matches the Rfam family "Bacterial small subunit ribosomal RNA", at positions 30 to 507 of the family's 1533-position model. The record is from RNAcentral.